GUGAAGAGUCUGCAAGAGUGUCCUAAAAGAAGAAGCUUCAAUCUGGCAUGCCUGAGGUCUUUGGGGGGCAGGGGAUGCGUACUUCCUUUGGCUGCCUACGUGCAUACGUGC
Molecule: small nucleolar RNA, 111 nt
Filed under: Carlito syrichta (Philippine tarsier)
Lineage: Eukaryota; Metazoa; Chordata; Mammalia; Primates; Tarsiidae
Description: Small nucleolar RNA SNORA67 (ENSTSYG00000025117.2)
Source: RNAcentral